GCCUAGAAUUGGGAUAUGGUGCCAUGUGCCUGCUAUCCCUGCUACCAUGAAGGCUGAGGCAGAUGGAUCUCUUGAGCUCAAGAAUUCUGAGCUGCAGUGAGCUGAGCCAAAUGGGUGUCCACACUAAGUUCAUUACAAAUAUGGUGAGCCCUAGAGGUUAGGGAACCACCAGGCUGCCAAAGGAAGGGCGAGAUGGCCCAGGUAAGAAAGAGCAGGUAAGUACUCCUGUGCUCUGUUCAGUAGUGGGAUUGGUCUUUGAGUGGCUGCUGUGACCCCAGCCUAGGAAAGAUAGAGUGAUUCA
RNAcentral lists this signal recognition particle RNA (301 nucleotides) under Phascolarctos cinereus (koala). Its description in RNAcentral is "Metazoan signal recognition particle RNA (ENSPCIG00000029655.2)". It matches the Rfam family "Metazoan signal recognition particle RNA". Rfam says of the family: The signal recognition particle (SRP) is a universally conserved ribonucleoprotein. The record is from RNAcentral. Lineage: Eukaryota; Metazoa; Chordata; Mammalia; Diprotodontia; Phascolarctidae.